This is a long non-coding RNA of Carassius gibelio (silver crucian carp), 1342 nucleotides long. RefSeq lists it as uncharacterized. NCBI's taxonomy places the organism in Eukaryota, Metazoa, Chordata, Actinopteri, Cypriniformes, Cyprinidae. The transcript is spliced from 2 exons. The record is from RefSeq and is a predicted model, not a curated record.
GAGAGAGAGAGAGAGAGAGAGGCGAGUGCGCGGAUCACAGAUCGAACAUUUCGAUUGUUACUGAAAUAAUUUGCAUACUGAUUCCCUUGCAGCCCGCGCCGAUCCAUAACUGCUCGCGCGGCUAUUCAAAUGCACGCGCAUCUUUAAAUGCACGGAUAAGGCAGAAUCAAGAGUCGAGAGACAAGCCAACAACACCGUCCGAAACAGAGGUUUUGCCCGUGGAUGCUGAGGUUCGAUCAUGGAAAUGGUGGGAAAGCGAUUAUGCUGCUGGACGAGACCCGCCGGAUGGACGCAGGAAGCGCCGUGCCCACGGAGCACACUGAACAGAUUAUACACUAAAACAAAUGAUUGCUUUCAAUGGCAAACUGUGGAUAACACACACAACUUACAGCUGUUAGCUUCAGGAGUCUUGAAGCGUCACCUUUGACAUGUCCCCUACGCACGAGCGGGGGCCCAGGGCUGGGGCCCCCAGGACUGACCACUGCAAGCUGUCACCCCACCCGGGCAUGGACGCUUUCGCCGGACUCCUAGCUGUCAAGUUAUCCCGUUCUCUCGCUUGACUGGACAUGAAACUGACUUUUUGGAGUCGAUUUUUAACUAUAAACAAUGUGAAGUCGUGCAAAGUGAUAUCUCUUGAAUGUAUGUGUGGGGGGAGUGGUAGGGGGAUCUUGUAACUACCUUGGUAAUUGUUGUCCUGCCUGCAAAAAUUGUAUUGGUUCAUUUUGUUAUUUUAAAAACUUUUAAAGACGAUUAUGUUAUUAGAUUUUUAUCUGGCUCUUUUACACAGUCUGUGUUUAUAUACAUAUAUAUAUAAUUUAUUUUUACCGUUUUGUAAAGUUGGAUUGACACGUUGUGUGUGUGUGUGUGUGUGUGUGUGUGUGUGUGUGUGUGUGUGUGUGUGUGUGUGUGUGUAUGUGUGUACUUGUUUUUCUAUUCUGGUGGGGACUUAAACCUGAAUACACACAGACUCAUGGGGACUCGUGUCACGGUGGGGACCUAAAUUGAGGUCCCCACGGGUAAACAAGCUAAUAAAUUACACAGAAUGAAGUUUCUUGAAAAUCUAAAAAUGCAGAAAGUUUCCUGUGAGGGUUAGGUUUAGGUGUAGGGUUGGUGAAGGGCGAUAGAAAAUACGGUCUGUACAGUAUAAAAACCAUUACACCUAUGGAGAGUCCCCACAAGGAUAGCUGACCAGACAUAUGUGUGUGUGUGUGUGUGUGUGUGUGAUAUGUAUUCAAUAAAAUCCAUAACUGUAUAAACAAACGUAUGAUUGUAACAUUGAUUUGAUACAUAAAAGUAUGUUGCCUAUUCAUCUGUGUGCAGAAUAAAGUUCACUCAAACGUAA